Molecule: ribosomal RNA, 253 nt
Filed under: uncultured prokaryote
Description: partial 16S ribosomal RNA
Rfam family: Bacterial small subunit ribosomal RNA
Source: RNAcentral
ACGUAGGGUGCGAGCGUUGUCCGGAAUUAUUGGGCGUAAAGAGCGCGCAGGCGGUCGUGCAAGUCGCGUGUGAAAGCCCCCGGCUCAACUGGGGAGGGUCACGCGAUACUGCUCGACUCGAAGGCAGGAGAGGGAAGAGGAAUUCCCGGUGUAGUGGUGAAAUGCGUAGAUAUCGGGAGGAACACCAGUGGCGAAGGCGACUUCCUGGCCUGUUCUUGACGCUGAGGCGCGAAAGCUAGGGUAGCAAACGGGA